This 435-nucleotide ribosomal RNA is filed under the name uncultured bacterium. RNAcentral describes it as "partial 16S ribosomal RNA". It matches the Rfam family "Bacterial small subunit ribosomal RNA", at positions 28 to 507 of the family's 1533-position model. The record is from RNAcentral.
GAUGAACGCUGGCGGUAUGCUUAACACAUGCAAGUCGAACGGACUCUUCGGAGUUAGUGGCGGACGGGUGAGUAACGCGUGAGAAUCUGGCUUUGGGUUCGGGACAACCACUGGAAACGGUGGCUAAUACCGGAUGUGCCGAGAGGUAAAAGAGAAAUUGCCUGAAGAUGAGCUCGCGUCUGAUUAGCUAGUUGGUGAGGUAAAGGCUCACCAAGGCAGCGAUCAGUAGCUGGUCUGAGAGGAUGACCAGCCACACUGGGACGGAGACACGGCCCAGACUCCUACGGGAGGCAGCAGUGGGGAAUUUUCCGCAAUGGGCGAAAGCCUGACGGAGCAAUACCGCGUGAGGGAAGAAGGCUCUUGGGUUGUAAACCUCUUUUCUUAGGGAAGAACAAAAUGACGGUACCUAAGGAAUCAGCAUCGGCUAACUCCGUG